This 756-nucleotide ribosomal RNA is filed under the name uncultured bacterium. Its description in RNAcentral is "bacterial SSU rRNA". It matches the Rfam family "Bacterial small subunit ribosomal RNA", at positions 63 to 782 of the family's 1533-position model. The record is from RNAcentral.
CGAACGAGUUCUCGUUGAUGAUCGGUGCUUGCACCGAGAUUCAACAUCCAUCUGAGUGGCGGACGGGUGAGUAACACGUGGGUAACCUGCCCUUAAGUGGGGGAUAACAUUUGGAAACAGAUGCUAAUACCGCAUAGAUCCAAGAACCGCAUGGUUCUUGGCUGAAAGAUGGCGUAAGCUAUCGCUUUUGGAUGGACCCGCGGCGUAUUAGCUAGUUGGUGAGGUAAUGGCUCACCAAGGCGAUGAUACGUAGCCGAACUGAGAGGUUGAUCGGCCACAUUGGGACUGAGACACGGCCCAAACUCCUACGGGAGGCAGCAGUAGGGAAUCUUCCACAAUGGACGCAAGUCUGAUGGAGCAACGCCGCGUGAGUGAAGAAGGCUUUCGGGUCGUAAAACUCUGUUGUUGGAGAAGAAUGGUCGGCAGAGUAACUGUUGUCGGCGUGACGGUAUCCAACCAGAAAGCCACGGCUAACUACGUGCCAGCAGCCGCGGUAAUACGUAGGUGGCAAGCGUUAUCCGGAUUUAUUGGGCGUAAAGCGAGCGCAGGCGGUUUUUUAAGUCUGAUGUGAAAGCCCUCGGCUUAACCGAGGAAGCGCAUCGGAAACUGGGAAACUUGAGUGCAGAAGAGGACAGUGGAACUCCAUGUGUAGCGGUGAAAUGCGUAGAUAUAUGGAAGAACACCAGUGGCGAAGGCGGCUGUCUGGUCUGUAACUGACGCUGAGGCUCGAAAGCAUGGGUAGCGAACAGGAUUAGA